This 410-nucleotide ribosomal RNA is filed under the name uncultured bacterium. RNAcentral describes it as "bacterial SSU rRNA". It matches the Rfam family "Bacterial small subunit ribosomal RNA", at positions 505 to 916 of the family's 1533-position model. The record is from RNAcentral.
GUGUCAGCAGCCGCGCUAAAACCCAGGGGGCUCUCGUUGUCCGGAAUUACUGGGCGUAAAGGGCACGCAGGCGGUACGCCAAGUCGGGGGUGUAAAGUUACGGCUCAACCGUGACCUUGCAAUCGAUACUGGCGUACUGGAGUGCGGGAGAGGGAAGUGGAAUUCCCGGUGUAGCGGUGAAAUGCGUAGAUAUCGGGAGGAACGCCAGUGGCGAAGGCGGCUUCCUGGCCCGCGACUGACGCUCAUGUGCGAAAGCCAGGGGAGCGAACCGGAUUAGAUACCCGGGUAGUCCUGGCCGUAAACGAUGGGUGCUAGGUGUAGGCGCGUCAAGCGUCUGUGCCGCAGUUAACGCGAUAAGCACCUCGCCUGGGGAGUACGGUCGCAAGGCUGAAACUUAAAUAAAUUGACGG